AGUGAACGCUGGCGGUAGGCCUAACACAUGCAAGUCGAACGGCAGCACAUUAAUAGCUUGCUCUUACGGGUGGCGAGUGGCGGACGGGUGGGGAAUACAUCGUAAUCUACUUUUUCGUGGGGGGGAACGUAGGGAAACUUACUCUAAUACCGCAUACGACCUACUGGUGAGAGCAGGGGAUCUUCGGACCUUGCGCGAUUGAGUUAGCCGAUGUCGGAUUAGCUAGUUGGCGGGGUAAAGGCCCACCGAGGCGACGAUCCGUAGCUGGUCUGAGAGGAUGAUCAGCCACACUGGAACUGAGACACGGUCCAGACUCCUACGGGAGGCAGCAGUGGGGAAUAUUGGACAAUGGGCGCAAGCCUGAUCCAGCCAUACCGCGUGGGUGAAGAAGGCCUUCGGGUUGUAAAGCCCUUUUGUUGGGAAAGAAAAGCAGCAGGUUAAUACCCCGCUGUUCUGACGGUACCCAAAGAAUAAGCACCGGCUAACUUCGUG
This 492-nucleotide ribosomal RNA is filed under the name uncultured bacterium. Its description in RNAcentral is "partial 16S ribosomal RNA". It matches the Rfam family "Bacterial small subunit ribosomal RNA", at positions 29 to 507 of the family's 1533-position model. The record is from RNAcentral.